AAGCUAUGAUUUGGUCCUUGUUGAUACUGCGAAUUAUCAUCUCCUUCUGUGAUUAUGACUGAACGAUAUUACGUGAUAUGAUAAUGAGUCUAUGUGCAUAUGUGAUUGGUUGUUUUGAUGAAUGAAGAAAAUAUGUUGUUAUGUGAAUAUCUACAUGAGAUAGGAUAUUCUAUGUGCUUAAGGAAAGAUGUUAUUUGUGUGAAUAUGAGUGAUACCUAUUUUAGGAAUGAUAUUUUAUGUGUGGAUAUAUGUAAUUAAUAUGAAUACGAUAUUGUGUUUGUGAGAUUGUGAAUAAAGCAAAAGUAAUUUAUGAGAAUGCAGUUAUGCAAUAGUUGAUACCUCAUGGAUGAUUUGAAAUAUAUGGGAAGGAAAGAUACUUUAUGUGUGGAUAUGUCCAAUCAAAGUGAUGAUAACAUUAUGCAAUUGAGAUUGAGAAAUUAUGGAUAUCUUUUGAAUGAAAUGAUGUAUAUGUAAGUCAAAAACAUAUGAUUAGUAGGAUCAAUGUAGUUAUAGUAGGAUGUGGAAAUUAGAUGAAUGUGAAGGGCAUGGUAAGUUAGAGGUAAAGAUAAUGAUUCAUAUCAGUAUAUUAUCUUCAAUAUUUGGAUUGGAGUCUUAAACUAUUCUUACUGAGCAAAUGGUGGCUCACCCCUUUUUUUAUAAAUUUCAUAACAGUGAGCGCAGGACCAAGCUGAAGAACCGU
This 700-nucleotide long non-coding RNA is filed under the name Carica papaya (papaya). RNAcentral describes it as "long non-coding RNA (CPAP_LNC006619)". Lineage: Eukaryota; Viridiplantae; Streptophyta; Magnoliopsida; Brassicales; Caricaceae. The record is from RNAcentral.